RNAcentral lists this transfer RNA (70 nucleotides) under Coralliophila squamulosa. RNAcentral's name for it is "tRNA-Asp". The record is from RNAcentral. Lineage: Eukaryota; Metazoa; Mollusca; Gastropoda; Neogastropoda; Muricidae.
UAAAAAGUUAGUUAAAAUAUAAUAUAAGAUUGUCAGUCUUAUGUUACUAAUGAAAUUUAGUACUUUUUAU